Molecule: ribosomal RNA, 791 nt
Filed under: uncultured archaeon
Lineage: Archaea
Description: bacterial SSU rRNA
Rfam family: Archaeal small subunit ribosomal RNA
Source: RNAcentral
ACGGCUCAGUAACACGUGGAUAACCUGCCCAAGGGUCUGGGAUAACCCCGGGAAACUGGGGAUAAUACCGGAUGGAUCACUAGUGCUGGAAUGCUUGGUGGUCGAAAGGCAACGCCUUUGGAUGGGUCUGCGGCGGAUUAGGUUGACGCCGGUGUAACGUACCGGCGUGCCUGUAAUCCGUACGGGUUGUGGGAGCAAGAGCCCGGAGAUGGAUUCUGAGACACGAAUCCAGGCCCUACGGGGCGCAGCAGGCGCGAAAACUCUACAAUGCAGGCAACUGCGAUAGGGGGACAUCGAGUGGCAUCCACCUUGGGUGCCUGUCCAACCGUCUAAAAAACGGUUGUUAGCAAGGGCCGGGUAAGACCGGUGCCAGCCGCCGCGGUAAUACCGGCGGCUCGAGUGGUGGCCGAUAUUAUUGAGUCUAAAGGGUCCGUAGCCGGCUUUGCAAGUCCCCUGGGAAAUCCAGCGGCUUAACCGUUGGGCUUUCAUGGGAUACUACAUUGCUUGGGACUGGGAGAGGUAGGAGGUACUCGGGGGGUAGGGGUGAAAUCCUGUAAUCCUCCGGGGACCACCGGUGGCGAAGGCGUCCUACCAGAACAGGUCCGACGGUGAGGGACGAAAGCUAGGGGCACGAACCGGAUUAGAUACCCGGGUAGUCCUAGCCGUAAACGGUGCCCGCUAGGUGUCACGACGGUCGUGAAUCGUCGUGGUGCCGUAGGGAAGCCGCGAAGCGGGCCACUUGGGAAGUACGGCCGCAAGGCUGAAACUUAAAGGAAUUGGCGGGGGAGCAC